GCUGCUCACUGGGCUAUGUGAGAGACGCUGUCCGUCGCUGCCGCAGAUGUGUGAUUAUGGAUCAAAACUUCCUACUGUUUGACAAGUUGAAACUGGCCUGUUUCACACAGGCCAGCUACCUAUUUUCAGAUCCAGAUCCUGGAUUCUGACUGUCUAUAGCCAGCUGGAUCAGACUGGCGAGCAAAACCAUCCAUCGAAUCAAGAGAAACAUCUUGUCCCUUCAACUCCUUCCAAUCUGGUAGGAGGCAUUCAAUCCACAGCCACACUUUAAUCUUUACUCUGGACUGAACCGAACUGAAUUGGAUGGUUUGUCAUCAUUCCUCUCACUUCCAUCAAGGAGCUGAAAUAUUGCCUCGAAUAAAGGGAAAAAAAUAUCAUCUUGGACCUCAUGAACUAUUUGAAGAAAUUGUCUCUGUAUAUGUUGUAAAUAUCACUUAAUACAUUUCACUAAUUUUGCACUA
Molecule: long non-coding RNA, 461 nt
Organism: Poeciliopsis prolifica (blackstripe livebearer)
Lineage: Eukaryota; Metazoa; Chordata; Actinopteri; Cyprinodontiformes; Poeciliidae
Exons: 3
Source: RefSeq, a predicted model, not a curated record